GGGGCUCGAACUCAUGGACCGCGAGAUCAUGACCUAAGUCGAAGUCAGACGCUUAACUGACUAAGCCACCCAGGCCCCCCACCCCCCCCUUUUUUUUUAUUUAGCAGAGAUCUGGAAGGAUCCUUGCCCUCAAGGCCCUCACAGACUGUGUGGGGAAACAGGAAGUAGAUAAGGCUUACAUUACAAUGUGAUAAGCAACAUUAUCAUGGGUCCUUGUAGGAGACUUUGUAUAUCAUUGAUACAUGGUUUCAUUCACUUCCCCCGUUUUAGAGAGUCCGGCUCUGGGUUUUAUUUCUGAGAUGUUGUCGGGGGGUCAGGGUCAGAGCCUAAAGUGGAAUUCCUAAUAUUUGUGUCUUGAGGAUUUUCUUACGCCGCUGGCUUUCCACAUCCGCUCUAAUACCUGGUCAGGGGUUGACCUGAGAGUCCAUGCAUUCUAGAAAAGGUCCCAAGGCUUCACCUUUUUACUCCUAGGAGUUCAAAUUCUUGCUCUUACCUUAUGAUUUUGCUCUUGCAGGCAGGAACAAACCCUCGACCCACUGCCCUACCACAUCUGUCAGAUUGAUAAAACUUUCAGAAACAUUAUCCCGGGGCCUUACAAAAUACCGGUUUUUCUCAGCAGUGAUAAUACUGCAGGUGAAGAGUGUGAAGGAACAAAAGAAAACUCCUGAAAAUUCUAAAAUCCCCUCCUCUUCCCCAAAGAAAAGAACCACUGACUAAUACCUCUUGUGAAUAUAGAUGUCAAAAUCCUCAACAGAAUACCAGCAGACUGAAUUCGUCAACACAGAAAGAGGAUAUACACCGUAACUGAGAUUUAUCCCAGUCAAGAGAUGGAAACACACAGUAGGUUAAACGGGGAGAUUUACUAUAAAGAAUUAUUAAACUACGUAAGAGUAACUACAGGAUAUGAAGAAACUUGGGGCGCCUGGGUGGCUCAGUCGGUUAAGCAUCUGACUUCGGCUCAGGUCACGAUCUCAUGGUUGGUGAGUCAGAGCCCUCCAUCAGGCUCUCUGCUAUCAGCAAUGGAGCCUGCUUUGG
This is a long non-coding RNA of Felis catus (domestic cat), 1035 nucleotides long. RefSeq lists it as uncharacterized. The record is from RefSeq and is a predicted model, not a curated record. Lineage: Eukaryota; Metazoa; Chordata; Mammalia; Carnivora; Felidae. The transcript is spliced from 3 exons.